GGAUGCUAAGAACCAAUGCAAAAUGGUGAUGGAAGAGAGCGAAGGAAGGAUCGUAGAACCAGUCGGUGAUCCUGACUUACCUCGACUAAUGGUUUUUUAGGCAAAAUUUUGGGCAACUAUUAAUUGAAUUUUGAACUGUAAAUUGACUAUCUAGUUAUCAUUAAGAAAAGUUUUCUUUUGAGUUUUAGAGUUCCAUUGUAGACUUUGAAGCGUUUUGGAGGCUCAAACUUGAAGAUUUGCAAGUGGGUUUUUUAAUUGAACUUUUGGAAAACAUUUUAAAGGCUUUGGUACUAUUACCCAGCUGAUGGAUCAUCUAGUUGGUAAUUGUUUUUAUCUUUUUAUAAUGUUUAGCUAAAACCCCAAUUCUUGGG
Molecule: long non-coding RNA, 371 nt
Filed under: Solanum tuberosum (potato)
Lineage: Eukaryota; Viridiplantae; Streptophyta; Magnoliopsida; Solanales; Solanaceae
Description: long non-coding RNA (STUB_LNC007400)
Source: RNAcentral